AGGGGUGUUUCAUCAAUUCAAACCCCAGUGACACUAAAAAUUUUGACCGACAAAACAAAGGCUGCUUUGCAACCUUCUUGUGUAUCUGAAUAAGAAAGAGUGAAGAGAGAGAGGAGAGAUGGAUAAUUUCAACGCAGGAGGAGGAGGAGGAAAUUGGAGUAUGAUCCCAUCCAUCCCGACCCACAGCCACAGUAACACCUCUACACCUUCCAAUCAAGACCACCUUUACCUCAAUCCCCAGCAACCACAACCACAAUCACAAUCACAACAGUUUCAACUUCAUCCACAACAACAACAACAAUUGCACUAUCAGCAGCAGCAGCAACAACAACAGCGUAUCCUUCAACAACAACAACAGCAGCAACAGCAACAACAGCAACAGCAUCAGCACCAAUCACUCGCCUCUCACUUCCACCUCUUACAUAUGGUGGAGAAUUUAGCGGAAGUUAUUGACCAUGGAACCAGGGACCAGCAAUCAGAUACUUUGGUGGCUGAGUUGAACACCCACUUUGAGAAGUGCCAGGUGCUGUUGAAAUCAAUUGCGUCUUCAAUUCCCACCAAGGCUAUGACAGUUGACAGUCAGAAGCGGAAGCUGGAGGAAAGUGAGCAGUUGUUGAAUCAGCGGAGGGAUCUGAUUGCAAAGUACCGAAGCUCUGUUGAAGGACUUAUCAAGUCCGAGCCAUAACCCUAUCACCCUUGUUUUAUGUGGUUUGCAAGAACAACGUUUCCUGUCUGUUCUUACCAAGGAGUGGAUCUUUUCUGCUGAAUGUCAUUAACUAGCCUUUCUUGGCCAUUUUGUUGGCAGACUCCUUCAAUAACAUAAUAUCCUCAAGGCUUUGCAAUUUCAGGUCUAGUUGCUUUCAGAGCAUUCUGUACAAGCUCCCAAGUUCUAAAGGAAAGCCAGAGGUCCUAGAACUGUGGGAUUAGAUUUGUUUCUGCAGUUCUUCAUGUGCUAUGUUGUUAUUGUGUUUACCUAUUAACAUGUAUGACAGCUCCAUGAAAUGGUCAUUGGUUGAUCCAGAUUUAAUGAGACACUUUGGUGACCUAAAAGCUUAUCUCCAAAUUGCUUCUAUUUAUU
Molecule: RNA transcript, 1078 nt
Organism: Quercus lobata
Lineage: Eukaryota; Viridiplantae; Streptophyta; Magnoliopsida; Fagales; Fagaceae
Gene name: mediator of RNA polymerase II transcription subunit 9-like
Exons: 7
Source: RefSeq, a predicted model, not a curated record